RNAcentral lists this ribosomal RNA (491 nucleotides) under uncultured bacterium. Its description in RNAcentral is "partial 16S ribosomal RNA". It matches the Rfam family "Bacterial small subunit ribosomal RNA", at positions 28 to 507 of the family's 1533-position model. The record is from RNAcentral.
GAUGAGCGCUGGCUACAGGCUUAACACAUGCAAGUCGAGGGGAAACGACGGGGAAGCUUGCUUCCCCGGGCGUCGACCGGCGCACGGGUGAGUAACGCGUAUCCAACCUGCCUCUGACUGAGGGAUAACCCGUCGAAAGUCGGCCUAAUACCUCAUGGCAUCGUCUGCGGGCAUCCAACGACGAUUAAAGAUUUCAUCGGUCAGGGAUGGGGAUGCGUCUGAUUAGCUUGUUGGCGGGGUAACGGCCCACCAAGGCUACGAUCAGUAGGGGUUCUGAGAGGAAGGUCCCCCACAUUGGAACUGGGACACGGUCCAAACUCCUACGGGAGGCAGCAGUGAGGAAUAUUGGUCAAUGGGCGGGAGCCUGAACCAGCCAAGUAGCGUGCAGGAUGACGGCCCUAUGGGUUGUAAACUGCUUUUAUGCGGGGAUAAAGUGAGGGACGUGUCCUUCAUUGCAGGUACCGCAUGAAUAAGGACCGGCUAAUUCCGUG